This is a non-coding RNA of Paramuricea clavata, 591 nucleotides long. The record is from the annotation of a GenBank genome assembly. NCBI's taxonomy places the organism in Eukaryota, Metazoa, Cnidaria, Anthozoa, Malacalcyonacea, Plexauridae.
AAAAGUCAACCUGCUAAGAGCAAACUGGACAUCAUAAACUUUGUUGAGGUGAGGUUAUACUUUCAUUUUAUAAAAUUCAUUUAGUAAGGCCUGAAUCAAAUUUAGUGUACACUGUACAUAUACAUCUUCUUAGUUUUGAGCUUUCCUAUAGUUGAGAUAAAGUUAUUAUGGGCUAACAAAAACUAUCUGCCAGUGUCUCUUGUUCCAUCCAUCAUAGUAUUUCGCUCUGUCUAUAACCCCUGGGGAUAGCUUGUAAGCUUGUUAGUGAAAACAUAAGCUGUUAAUUAAUGAAAGUUGUGUAGUUGUUACCAAAACUAUUUUUGUGUUGUUUUUUCCUCAAAAGGAAGGAGACACAGACUUGACUACCUGGCUGCAAAUGAGACCCAAUGACAUACUGUAUCAGGGCUGAUCAUGACAUGGAGCUAUUGGCAACAUUCGAGAAUAGCGAAACUGUAAAAGCCAUCUUUACUUCCUGGCGUUGUUCUACUGUACCUGCUCGACUUAGACUAUCCAUCCAGACUCAGCAGUCUGACAUGGUAAAGGCUUUUCAAGAAAUUGAACAAUAUUGCUACUGCCUCGUACCCAGGCGUC